AUGCAGUCUAUCCACCUCAGCACCCUUGCCACAUCAUCAGUUUCUCUUAAUUAUUUUGAUCAUGCAUCUCACCAAGUCACAUUAUUUUACAAAAUAAAAAUAAAAAUGAUUCGAUUGUCUGUAAACCGAAAGGCCUCUGUAACCCAAGAGUCGUCCUCCCUUGGCUUUCCCCAACAUCUUCUCAAUCUCCGCUUCCUGCACGAUCCAUCAACUAAUUACGUGGCUAUAUUAAUCUCCGGCAACCGAUCUACUUCGUCUUCAUCUUCCACUGAAACAGAUGGAAGAGUAACAGAUAGCUGUUCCUCCUUUUAA
Molecule: ribosomal RNA, 312 nt
Filed under: Triticum aestivum (bread wheat)
Lineage: Eukaryota; Viridiplantae; Streptophyta; Magnoliopsida; Poales; Poaceae
Description: partial small subunit ribosomal RNA
Source: RNAcentral